Molecule: transfer RNA, 69 nt
Filed under: Coleonyx mitratus
Lineage: Eukaryota; Metazoa; Chordata; Lepidosauria; Squamata; Eublepharidae
Description: tRNA-Glu
Source: RNAcentral
GUUUUUGUAGUUGAAUUACAACGGUGGUUUUUCAGAUCACAGGUCUUAGAUUAUAGCUGGGCAAAAAUA